UACACACCGCCCGUCACACCAUGGGAGUGGAUUGCUCCAGAAGGGGCUGAGCUAACCCGCAAGGGAGGCAGGCCCCCAAGGAGUGUUUCGUAACUGGGGUG
This 101-nucleotide ribosomal RNA is filed under the name uncultured bacterium. RNAcentral describes it as "partial 16S ribosomal RNA". It matches the Rfam family "Bacterial small subunit ribosomal RNA", at positions 1384 to 1482 of the family's 1533-position model. The record is from RNAcentral.